RNAcentral lists this long non-coding RNA (211 nucleotides) under Sorghum bicolor (sorghum). RNAcentral's name for it is "long non-coding RNA (SBIC_LNC002820)". The record is from RNAcentral. Lineage: Eukaryota; Viridiplantae; Streptophyta; Magnoliopsida; Poales; Poaceae.
CUAGAAUUAGGGUUUGAUCUGACAGAAUUCCACGAGUUUUGUUGUUUAUCUGUUUCUGUAGGGGGUUAUCAGGAAAUAAGGAAGAAAGGCCCACAUGUCAGGAUUACAUAGAGAUAUCAACGCACCGCGUAAUUUUACAUCAUCUAGAAGACUCCAGAAGCCACGAGAUCGAAGCGGAGGCAAAACUGGGCCAGGCCCAGGGCGCCCGCCC